Molecule: ribosomal RNA, 416 nt
Filed under: uncultured bacterium
Lineage: Bacteria
Description: bacterial SSU rRNA
Rfam family: Bacterial small subunit ribosomal RNA
Source: RNAcentral
GACGCGGCGGCGUGCUUAACACAUGCACGUCGAACGGAAUCCAUGGUGUAGCAAUACACCGGAAGAUUUAGUGGCGAACGGGUGAGGAUCACGUGAGAAACGUGCCCCAGACUCUGGGAUAACAAUUGGAAACGAUUGCUAAUACCGGAUGACGUCGGAGAAUCGCAUGAUUCACUGACGAAAGAUAUUUCGGUUUGGGAGCGUCUCGCGGCCUAUCAGCUUGUUGGUGGGGUAAUGGCCUACCAAGGCAACGACGGGUAGCUGGUCUGAGAGGAUGAUCAGCCGCACUGGGACUGAGACACGGCCCAGACUCCUACGGGAGGCAGCAGUGGGGAAUCUUGCGCAAUGGGCGAAAGCCUGACGCAGCAACGCCGCGUGCGGGAUGAAGGCCUUCGGGCUGUAAACCGCUUUCAGCA